This 503-nucleotide ribosomal RNA is filed under the name uncultured bacterium. Its description in RNAcentral is "partial 16S ribosomal RNA". It matches the Rfam family "Bacterial small subunit ribosomal RNA", at positions 30 to 523 of the family's 1533-position model. The record is from RNAcentral.
AUUGAACGCUGGGGGCAGGCUUAACACAUGCAAGUCGAGCGGGGUGAUGGUGCUUGCACUAUCACUUAGCGGCGGACGGGUGAGUAAUGCUUAGGAAUCUGCCUAUUAGUGGGGGACAACAUCUCGAAAGGGAUGCUAAUACCGCAUACGUCCUACGGGAGAAAGCAGGGGAUCACUUGUGACCUUGCGCUAAUAGAUGAGCCUAAGUCGGAUUAGCUAGUUGGUGGGGUAAAGGCCUACCAAGGCGACGAUCUGUAGCGGGUCUGAGAGGAUGAUCCGCCACACUGGGACUGAGACACGGCCCAGACUCCUACGGGAGGCAGCAGUGGGGAAUAUUGGACAAUGGGGGGAACCCUGAUCCAGCCAUGCCGCGUGUGUGAAGAAGGCCUUAUGGUUGUAAAGCACUUUAAGCGAGGAGGAGGCUCUUUUGGUUAAUACCCAAGACGAGUGGACGUUACUCGCAGAAUAAGCACCGGCUAACUCUGUGCCAGCAGCCGCCGCAG